RNAcentral lists this long non-coding RNA (774 nucleotides) under Homo sapiens (human). Its description in RNAcentral is "HSALNT0382475". Lineage: Eukaryota; Metazoa; Chordata; Mammalia; Primates; Hominidae. The record is from RNAcentral.
GGCAACCUGCUAUUGUCCCCUUCAAUACUGUGGAAGCUUUGUUCUUUUGCUCUUUGCGAUAAAUCUUGCUACUGCUCAGGUCCACGCUGCUUUUAUGAGCUGUAACACUCACUGCGAAAAUCUGCAGCUUCACUCCUGAGCCUAGCGAAACCACGAGCCCACCGGGAGGAACAAACAACUCCAGACGCGCUGCCUUAAGAGCUGUAACACUCACUGCGAAGGUCUGCACCUUCACUCUUGAGCCAGCAAGACCACGAACCCACCAGGAGAAAACUCCGAACACAACUGAACAUCAGAAGGAACAAACUCCAGACGCACCACCUUCAGAGCUGUAACACUCACCGCGAGGGUCCGUGGCUUCAUUCUUGAAGUCAGUGAGACCAAGAACCCACCAACUCCAGACACACUGGGAUUACAGGAUUACACCCUUGCCAGGCUGGAGUGCAAUGGCACGAUCUCGGCUCACUACAACCUCGGCCUCCCACGUUCAAGCGAUUCUCCUGCCUCAGCCUCCCAAGUAGCUGGGGUUACAGGCAUGCGCCACCACGCCCGAUUGUACUUUUAGUAGAGACGUGGUUUGCACCAUGUUGGCCAGGAUGGUCUCGAUCUAUUAACCUCGUGAUCUGCCCGUCUCGGUCUCCCAAAAUGCUGGGAUUAUAGGCGUGAGCCACCGCGCCCGGCCUUUGUUUUUUUCUUACAAAGUAGUUUCCCUCAUUAACUGGGACUGUUUGGCUACUGUGAAAUCACUUAUUCUGGAAAACAGAAUAAAUCUUU